Molecule: long non-coding RNA, 501 nt
Organism: Chroicocephalus ridibundus (black-headed gull)
Lineage: Eukaryota; Metazoa; Chordata; Aves; Charadriiformes; Laridae
Exons: 3
Source: RefSeq, a predicted model, not a curated record
CAGCCUGAUUCCAAACUCAUCAGGGCUAAUGAUGUCUAUUGCCCUCAUUGUCUCUGUCAAGAACUAUAUAAAGCAACACCUGGAAAAGUGCUGAGUCCACAAUAUCCACAGGCCUGUUUUACAGGAUGAUCUCCACUGUUAUGCCAGAAAUCCCUGGGCAAAACAGAAUCCAGGUUAGUGAUAGUGAGAACAUUUCCAGAAGCACUGAGCCCUGUCUUGCAGCUCCCAUCUGAAAGACGUGCUUGUAUCCAGCUCCUGAGAAAAGUGGAAAGAAAAGGGCCAAGCAUUCCCGGUGGGGACACUGGGAAGGACAGCAGCUGAACAUGGGUGAGUCCUGCGUGAGAGUGUGUGGAAAACAAGGAUAGGCUCAUCCCCUCAUCCCAGCCCUUGCAUUCACAGAAGGGGUGACUAAGCCAGGACUUUGCCCUUUUUCAGAAGUCUAUGAUUUUCAAUUUCUUUUAAGAGUACCGCCUCUGUGGUUCAGACAUUCUUCUGCUUAAA